Molecule: long non-coding RNA, 880 nt
Organism: Chenopodium quinoa (quinoa)
Lineage: Eukaryota; Viridiplantae; Streptophyta; Magnoliopsida; Caryophyllales; Amaranthaceae
Exons: 3
Source: RefSeq, a predicted model, not a curated record
UCUACGGCUCAACCUGUACUUCAAGUGACUAACCUGCAUACUACGUACAGUCAUACACUAAACAAUUGUUUCUAACUUGUUAAAAGUGUACAUCAUGUUCUUCAUUCUCCUCUUUCUCUCUCCUCUAAAACACUUAAAUUGUUUCCAAUUUAGGGUUUUCGACUUGAAACUCUAAAAUUGUUUCCAAUUUAGGGUUUUUCAAGAUACUGCAUGCUAAAAUCAUUCAUGAAUCAAGCAAGCUAAGCUACUAUGAGCAAGGCCCAAAUCAAAUCACUGGAAAAUGAUGAUUUGAUUUCCAGGUAAUUUAUGGCUUUUCAACCACAAUCUACCAAAUAAUCACAGAGCUAUUAUAUUUAGUGGAGUUAUGUUGCUUGAAAGUCGUUUGAUUGCUGCAGAAAACAUGACAGGGCUCCUCAUUUGCUAACUUGCAAGAAUUCUCAGCUGCUUCGAGUUCUGUUGUCACAUAUCAAAUUCCUGUAUCUCAGGCUAUGAUGAUGUACGUUGCUCCUGCCUCCUGAAAUUUAAAUCUGAGACUUUUGACAUUCUGCAAUCUGGGUUUCUGGGAGCAUUUUCUUAUUCUUUCUUUUCCUUCAGUCUUGGCUAUUUGAUUUUAAUGUUUUAGUGUUCAUGCAUUGUGCUCCUGAACUAUAAUUGAUACAUAUGUGCAAAUGCAAAUGUGUAAAGACUGUUGAUUCUUAAAGAGAUUAGUGUUUGACAGUGCCGGAGACUUGGGUGUAUCAGGGUUGGCCAAGUGCACAAGAUUCGUUGUAUUUUUUUUUUUCUUAGCGGUUGUUUAAAGAACAAAGUGUAUUAUUCUUAUAGCAAAAGUGUAACACAAAGUAUUUAUGUAUAUAUAUGAUAUAUCCAUUCAGCUUACUUA